RNAcentral lists this unclassified non-coding RNA (285 nucleotides) under plant metagenome. RNAcentral describes it as "partial contains small subunit ribosomal RNA, internal transcribed spacer 1, and 5.8S ribosomal RNA". The stretch from base 1 to 54 matches the Rfam family "Eukaryotic small subunit ribosomal RNA", at positions 1778 to 1831 of the family's 1831-position model. The record is from RNAcentral.
GGAAGCAAAAGUCGUAACAAGGUUUCCGUAGGUGAACCUGCGGAAGGAUCAUUAUUGUAUAACCGAGGUGCGAGGGCUGUCGCUGACCCGAAAGGUCGUGCACGCCCGAGUGCCCUCACACACAUCCAUCUCACCCCUAUGUGCACCACCGCGUGGGUCCCCCUUUGGCUUGUUCGGAGGGGGGCUUACGUUUUCACACAAACUUUGUAUGUAGUGUAGAAUGUAUUUUUUGUUUUUGCGAUCACGCAAUCAAUACAACUUUCAACAACGGAUCUCUUGGCUCUC